This 253-nucleotide ribosomal RNA is filed under the name uncultured bacterium. RNAcentral describes it as "partial 16S ribosomal RNA". It matches the Rfam family "Bacterial small subunit ribosomal RNA", at positions 524 to 776 of the family's 1533-position model. The record is from RNAcentral.
UACGUAGGGUGCGAGCGUUAAUCGGAAUUACUGGGCGUAAAGCGUGCGCAGGCGGUUUGGUAAGCCAGAUGUGAAAUCCCCGGGCUUAACCUGGGAAUGGCAUUUGGGACUGCAAGGCUGGAGUUUGGCAGAGGAGACUGGAAUUCCCGGUGUAGCAGUGAAAUGCGUAGAUAUCGGGAGGAAUACCGAUGGCGAAGGCAGGUCUCUGGGCUAUAACUGACGCUCAUGCACGAAAGCGUGGGGAGCAAACAGG